This 441-nucleotide ribosomal RNA is filed under the name uncultured bacterium. RNAcentral's name for it is "partial 16S ribosomal RNA". It matches the Rfam family "Bacterial small subunit ribosomal RNA", at positions 338 to 795 of the family's 1533-position model. The record is from RNAcentral.
CCUACGGGCGGCAGCAGUGGGGAAUAUUGCACAAUGGGCGAAACCCUGAUGCAGCGACGCCGCGUGAGUGAAGAAGUAUUUCGGUAUGUAAAGCUCUAUCAGCAGGGAAGAAAAUGACGGUACCUAACUAAGAAGCCCCGGCUAACUACGUGCCAGCAGCCGCGGUAAUACGUAGGGGGCAAGCGUUAUCCGGAUUUACUGGGUGUAAAGGUAGCGGAGGUUGCAUGGUAAGCCAGAAGUGAAAACCCAGGGCUCAACUCUGUGGGUUGCUUUUGGAACUAUCAAGCUAGAGUGCUGGAGGGGGAAGCGGAAUUCCUAGUGUAGCGGUGAAAUGCGUAGAGAUUAGGAGGAACACCGGUGGCGAAGGCGGCUUACUGGACAGAAACUGACACUGAGGCUCGAAAGCGUGGGGAGCAAACAGGAUUAGAUACCCGUGUAGUC